This 632-nucleotide ribosomal RNA is filed under the name uncultured picoeukaryote. RNAcentral describes it as "partial 16S ribosomal RNA". It matches the Rfam family "Bacterial small subunit ribosomal RNA", at positions 886 to 1482 of the family's 1533-position model. The record is from RNAcentral.
CCGCGAGGCUAAGACCCAAAGGAAUUGACGGGGGCUUACACAAGCGGUGGAGCAUGUGGUUUAAUUCGAAACAACGCGCAAAACCUUACCAAUCCUUGACAUAUGAAAAACCAGGGUGUUUACCCGCUCUGUCUCUUUUAUACAGGUGCUGCAUGGCUGUCGUCAGUUCGUGGUGUGAGCUGUUGGGUUAAGUCCCAGAACGAACGCAACCCUCCUUUGUAAUGAAGGUUUACCUUUUUCAAAGACUGCCAAGGAUAUCUUGGAGGAAGGUGAGGAUGACGUCAAGUCCGCAUGGCCCUUAUGGGUUGGGCUACACACGUGCUACAAUGGGAAUGACAAAAGGAGGCAACAUGGCAACAUUGAGCAAAUCCCAAAAAGUUUCCUUAGUUCGGAUUGUUCUCUGCAACUCGAGAACAUGAAGUUGGAAUCGCUAGUAAUCGUAGAUCAGCAUGCUACGGUGAAUUUGUAUCUAAGCCUUGUACACACCGCCCGUCACACUCUGAAAAUUUUCAUGCCUUGAAGCAAAAGAAGUUCACCAAGAACACACAGCGCAAUUAAAAAAAAACAUCUUCCCUUUUUUUUUCUGUGUCUUUGUUGGAACCUUUUCUAGAGUUAGGGAGGUGAUUGGAGUG